This 433-nucleotide ribosomal RNA is filed under the name uncultured bacterium. RNAcentral describes it as "partial 16S ribosomal RNA". It matches the Rfam family "Bacterial small subunit ribosomal RNA", at positions 29 to 507 of the family's 1533-position model. The record is from RNAcentral.
AACGAACGCUGGCGGCAUGCCUAACACAUGCAAGUCGAACGAGACCUUCGGGUCUAGUGGCGCACGGGUGCGUAACGCGUGGGAACCUGCCCUUAGGUUCGGAAUAACUCCCCGAAAGGGGUGCUAAUACCGGAUAAUGUCUUCGGCCCAAAGAUUUAUCGCCUUUGGAUGGGCCCGCGUUGGAUUAGCUAGUUGGUAGGGUAAAAGCCUACCAAGGCGACGAUCCAUAGCUGGUCUGAGAGGAUGAUCAGCCACACUGGGGCUGAGACACGGCCCAGACUCCUACGGGAGGCAGCAGUGGGGAAUAUUGGACAAUGGGCGAAAGCCUGAUCCAGCAAUGCCGCGUGAGUGAUGAAGGCCUUAGGGUUGUAAAGCUCUUUUACCCGGGAUGAUAAUGACAGUACCGGGAGAAUAAGCUCCGGCUAACUCCGUG